GACGAACGCUGGCGGCGUGCCUAAUACAUGCAAGUCGAACGCAGAGGGUAUACCUUGCUUUGCUGCAUGAUUUGCGAACGGGUGAGUAACGCGUAGUUAACCUUCCUGGUAGUGGGUGAUAACUGUGGGAAACGAUAGCUAAUACCGCAUAAUAGUGCAUGAUGUAUGAUAUUUGAUUAAAAUUAGCAAUUGCAUCCCUACCAGAUAGUCCUGCGUUGUAUUAGCUAGUAGGUGGGGUAACGGCUCACCAAGGCGACGAUACAUAGCCGACCUGAGAGGGUGAUCGGCCACACUGGGACUGAGACACGGCCCAGACUCCUACGGGAGGCAGCAGUAGGGAAUCUUCGGCAAUGGACGGAAGUCUGACCGAGCAACGCCGCGUGAGUGAAGAAGGUUUUCGGAUCGUAAAGCUCUGUUGUAAGAGAAGAACGGGUGUGAGAGUGGAAAGUUCACACUGUGACGGUAUCUUACCAGAAAGGGACGGCUAACUACGUG
This 495-nucleotide ribosomal RNA is filed under the name uncultured bacterium. Its description in RNAcentral is "partial 16S ribosomal RNA". It matches the Rfam family "Bacterial small subunit ribosomal RNA", at positions 28 to 507 of the family's 1533-position model. The record is from RNAcentral.